RNAcentral lists this non-coding RNA (609 nucleotides) under Marchantia polymorpha subsp. ruderalis. RNAcentral's name for it is "Eukaryotic large subunit ribosomal RNA". It matches the Rfam family "Eukaryotic large subunit ribosomal RNA", at positions 1891 to 2385 of the family's 3401-position model. Lineage: Eukaryota; Viridiplantae; Streptophyta; Marchantiopsida; Marchantiales; Marchantiaceae. The record is from Rfam by way of RNAcentral.
UAGAACAAUGUAGCUAAGGGAAGUCAUCAAAACAAAUUCAUAAUUUCAAAAAAAUGAUUGGGUCUGAGGUUAGGAUUCAAAAUUUUGCGUCUAAACUUCGGCGUACUGUCUACGGUUUGCCCAAGAUGCUUGCGCAGUGAGGACAAAUUGUUGAGUGCUUGUUAGACGAAGGGUGUAGAAUGUCGGUGACUCUUUUGGGAGCUUUCUUAGCGAAAGUCUUCUUGUGGGAAAGGGGGAGGAGAGCUCAGCUUUCCUCAGAUGAACAACCAAUUCAAAACUCGUAUGGACAAGAAGAAUCUAACUGUUUAAUUAAAACAAAGCAUUGCGUUGAUUUCCAUGGAUGUUAACACAAUGUGAUUUCUAUCUAAUGCUCUCAAUGUCAAAGUGAAAAAAAUCAUCAAGUGCGUUUAAAUGGCGGAAGUAACUAUGAUUUUAUUAAGGUAGCCAAAUGUUUCGUCAUCUAAUUAAUGACGUGCAUGAAUAACUAUGAUUUUAUUAAGGAAACCAAAUGUUUCGUCAUCUAAUUAAUGACGUGCAUGAAUAAAUUAACAAGAUUUCCAUUGUUGAUAUCUACCAUUCAGCAAAACCACAACCAAGGAAACAUCUUCU